Molecule: long non-coding RNA, 1775 nt
Organism: Herpailurus yagouaroundi (jaguarundi)
Lineage: Eukaryota; Metazoa; Chordata; Mammalia; Carnivora; Felidae
Exons: 3
Source: RefSeq, a predicted model, not a curated record
UCUCUCCUCUUCUCCCUCGCUUGGGAUCAGACCCGCAUUUUGAUUUGACUGAUCUCUCAGACUUUCUGACUUCUUCCUCUUUUUUUUCCUCCCAGGCAUUUCCUUAAUAAAAUUCUGGCACGUGUCAUUCCAUCUUGGCCUCUGCUUCUUGGAGAUGCCCAGACUGACACAAGUUAACAGAGGGGGUCCGCUGGACAAACCGGUUCACCAUCAAUCCCACCAAUACUGUGCCUUGGAUUGCAGCCCCUCCCCCCCCCGCCCCGCUAUGGACUGAGCUGUGUCUUUCCAACAAUUCCUCUGCUGAAGUUCUAAAGUCUCGUACUUCAGAAUGUGGCUUUAUGUGGAGACAGCGUCUUUAAGGAGGUAAUGAAGUUAAAAUGAGAUCAUCAGAGUGGGUCCAAAUGGAAGAUGACUGGUGUCCUUACAAGGAGAGAGAUUAGGGACACAACAUGCAUUGAGGGAGGGCAUGUGAAGACACAGGGAGAGAGGGCUCCAAAGAAAUCAACCCUACCGACGCCUGGUCUUGGGCCUGUAGGCCUCAAGAGAUGUGGGAAGAUAAAUUUCUGUUGUUUAAAUCCCCCGGGGCUCUGUACUCUGUGAUGGCAUCCGGAGCAAAGUAAUACAGUCCCCUGACAUUUUAUGGCCUGAAUUGGAAGGUGCCUUCUACUCUCUUUGAGCUCCUUACUCUUUCUCCACUCCCGUUCUGUGUGGGGUCCUUCACCUGCCUGACAGGGAGCCCUUCAAUCUCUUGCACACACAAAGGACAUAGACAACACGCCCAGCACCCUGAUAAUAGGGGUUCUGAGUAUCCCGCACCAACCCACAUCCGCAAUGGAGAGUAUACACUGGCUUGAAAUUUCAGGAAGUCUUUUGGAGUAAGUUUCUCCGGACGAGUUUUAAUCUCACCGAGGAUCCCUCUUAGAGUAGAUGGAUAGAGAAUUAAUUUCUUGUUGCUAAAGUUCUGGGGGGAGGGGGUGGAUCUCUUUUCCUUUUAUGCCACUAUUUUAUGCCGUUCUACCAAGGUUCCCCACGGCUCUCGGCCGGCAUGUGCCAGAUGGAAACUGGGUUCAUUCAUGUCGCUCUCAUCUCAGUCCUUCCCAUUUUGAGAACGCUGACUUCUGACUAAACUCUGAUCCUUACAGGUCAUAAGACCUUCACAAGCUACCAACCACCGCAUGUAGGAGAAUGGCCCCCAAGACCACUCAUCACAGGUCUUCUGUGGAAAUCACCACCUUGUCACCUUCAGAUUCUAGCUCAGAGAGAUUGAAGGAGAUGUUGCCUGACUAUGUAACUCAUAUUGGCCUCCAUAGAAGCUUUUAUGAGUUGAAAAAAGUAGUGUGCACAGAAAGACUAGACAGAGUGGACACUAUUUUUUUUUAAAUGAUUAAUUAAAUUAACUAAUUAAAAUUUACAAAGAUGAGCAAGGAAAAAAGCUAAUGCAAAUAAUUCUGCGAAGGUGAUGAAAUUAAAGCUGUGUGCGUGGUUUUGAAAUCUUCUUUAAUGUAUAAAUGACUUUAAUGGAUAAAUGUAUACACUUCUUUCACGUAUAAAGAAAAUCAAAAAAAGGAUAAACUGGUGUAAAAUAAAAAUUCAUCGGGGGAGGAGCCAAGAUGGCGGAACAGCAAGGGAAGUUUGUGUGUGUGUCUCUCGCGUCCCUGAAAUACAACCAGACCAACACUAAACCGUCCUGCACACCUAGAAAACGGAUCCGAGGAUUCACACAACAAUCUGCGCCACCUGAACCACCGAACUCAGCAGAUGGUAGCAGGUGCAUG